This is a long non-coding RNA of Oncorhynchus nerka (sockeye salmon), 993 nucleotides long. RefSeq lists it as uncharacterized. The transcript is spliced from 4 exons. NCBI's taxonomy places the organism in Eukaryota, Metazoa, Chordata, Actinopteri, Salmoniformes, Salmonidae. The record is from RefSeq and is a predicted model, not a curated record.
GUCUGCAGACAUUUGCUCAUCUCCCGUCAGAACAGGAUCUGCACACGUGUUCACAUUUUCUAUUCCACAUUUCUAUUGUAGCGUACUGUAUGUAUAGAGCAUAAUAUAUUUGUGUAUAUUCUUUAUCACCGCGGAAACGUGAGGUAACGUUACUCAUUUUAUAACCUUUAUGAUGUUAUAGUCAAUCGUGCUUAUGUAGCCACAUUCUUCUAUUAGCUCUGUAAAACAAUGCUAAAUGCGUCAGAGAAGUAUUAUCUUGUGUUGCAUUUUGAAGCUACCAUGGCCUUAUGACUCUCAAGUGGUGCAGCGGUCAAAGGCACAGCACAUCAGUACUAGAGGUGUCACUACAGACUCCCUGGUUCAAAUCCAGGCUGCGUUUCCAUCAAAAAACCAGAAACAUUAUUUGCCAAUAUCAUAACUGGAGCUGGACAUCUUUGGAGCUGAAGAAUGAGGACAGCUUUUGUAUGCUAACGUACACUCCUUAACAGUUGUACUGGAUGAAAACACAGCAAGAAAACGCAUGCCAAUAUGCAUAGUAUCAUGGCUGGUCACCUGUCAAGUCACAUGUCAGGUCAGUCAGUCACCUAUUGCUGCAGAUGUGCUCAAUAAUGCUUGAGCAUGUGAUACUCCUCAAAGCAUGGUGAAAUACAUAGAGGUGUAUCACAAGCUAGACACAUGUAUUUUGUCAUCUUCCUCUGCUUACUUCUCCUGGCGCCAGACAGGCAGACUUUGCAAUGCCUCCGUGUGCGACUACCUUGAGAAGCAGUUUGAGGGACUUUGCAGGGAAAAUGUCGUGCAGUGAGGCGUAGGGGAUUGUCUACAGCAGGACGACCCCCAGUGGAUGGGCGCCGAGGGGUGUGGUGCUCCUCCAGCAGCUCUCUCAUGAGGUUCUCUCUGUAUUUUUGGUGGUCCACCUUCCCUGUGGCCGACAUGGUUGCUGUAUGGACAGUGGAGAGGACAUGGACGUCUCGCUUGUCAUGCCACUUUACUGCC